Molecule: ribosomal RNA, 449 nt
Filed under: uncultured bacterium
Lineage: Bacteria
Description: partial 16S ribosomal RNA
Rfam family: Bacterial small subunit ribosomal RNA
Source: RNAcentral
UAUCCAGACUCCUACGGGAGGCAGCAGUGGGGAAUAUUGCACAAUGGGGGAAACCCUGAUGCAGCGACGCCGCGUGAGCGAUGAAGUAUUUCGGUAUGUAAAGCUCUAUCAGCAGGGAAGAAAAUGACGGUACCUGACUAAGAAGCCCCGGCUAACUACGUGCCAGCAGCCGCGGUAAUACGUAGGGGGCAAGCGUUAUCCGGAUUUACUGGGUGUAAAGGGGGCGUAGACGGCAAUGCAAGCCAGAUGUGAAGGCCCGGGGCUCAACCCCGGGACUGCAUUUGGAACUGUGUAGCUGGAGUGCGGGAGGGGCAGGCGGAAUUCCUGGUGUAGCGGUGAAAUGCGUAGAUAUCAGGAGGAACACCGGCGGCGAAGGCGGCCUGCUGGACCGUGACUGACGUUGAGGCUCGAGAGCGUGGGGAGCAAACAGGAUUAGAUACCCCCGUAUA